UACGCCCGAGGCACCAAAC
This 19-nucleotide unclassified non-coding RNA is filed under the name Mus musculus (house mouse). RNAcentral's name for it is "oocyte_clustered_small_RNA4245". The record is from RNAcentral. Lineage: Eukaryota; Metazoa; Chordata; Mammalia; Rodentia; Muridae.